Long non-coding RNA from Populus trichocarpa (black cottonwood), 287 nucleotides. RefSeq lists it as uncharacterized. NCBI's taxonomy places the organism in Eukaryota, Viridiplantae, Streptophyta, Magnoliopsida, Malpighiales, Salicaceae. The record is from RefSeq and is a predicted model, not a curated record. The transcript has 2 exons.
AUUUUGAGUCGUUCUUGAAUAUGUCUCCUUUGUAUUCAGAUAAUCCUGAUAUUCUACCGACAGGACGUCAGUAGGAUUUUCUUCGGUGUCUGCUUUUGGCUUCUGUUUGCUUUUGAGUCAGGCUUAUAGCUUGAUAGCAGGUCACUUUUGUUGAACCUUCAGAACCUGCUCUUUGGUUGUACUUUGUACAUUUUCCUUUAUGUCUAGUUAGUGCUCCAAAACUAUGAAUUAUAUUAACUCUUGUAUUAAGACAAUUCAGUUAUAUUAUGAAGUUAAUUUUGUUGUUA